AAGUCGUAACAAGGUUUCCGUAGGUGAACCUGCGGAAGGAUCAUUAAUACGCUUUUGUUUGUAACAAAACAAAACGUUUUAAACCCCAAAAUUGAAAUAGUGGAAACAUAUCUUCCGGAUGCGAAUGUUGGGGAACUGAGUAAAAUCGGUUCUUUGAAAAAGGACCUCAAGCAAUUGACACUUCAGAGUAGAGCAGUGAGGUGAAACUCGCAAGAGUUUGGUUCUGAAAAACAUUUGUAUCCGGUUAUCAAAUCUGUUCUACCAAAUUAUCAAACAAUAAACCCCAUGUACAACAACUUGAACUAAACAUUUUUUUGUUGUCUGCUUCGCGGCAGAUGUGCAUAGAAAAACCUGAACUUAAGAACAACUCUUAACAACGGAUACCUUGGUUCUC
Molecule: unclassified non-coding RNA, 394 nt
Filed under: fungal sp.
Lineage: Eukaryota; Fungi
Description: partial internal transcribed spacer region
Rfam family: Eukaryotic small subunit ribosomal RNA (bases 1-46)
Source: RNAcentral